Picea glauca (white spruce) is the source of this 1389-nucleotide non-coding RNA. NCBI's taxonomy places the organism in Eukaryota, Viridiplantae, Streptophyta, Pinopsida, Pinales, Pinaceae. The record is from Rfam.
CUCAUGGAGAGUUUGAUCCUUGCUCAGGAUGAACACUGGCGGCAUGCUUAACACAUGCAAGUCGGACGGGAAGUGGUGUUUCCAGUGGUAGACGGGUGAGUAACGCGUAAGAACCUGCCCUUGGGAGGGGAACAACAGCUGGAAACGGUUGCUAAUACCCCAUAGGCUGAGGAGAAAAAGGAGGAAUCCACCCAAGGAGGGGCUCGUGUCUGAUUAGUUAGUUGGUGAGGCAAUGGCUUACCAAGGUGACGAUCAAUAGCUGGUCCGAGAGGAUGAUCAGCCACACUAGGACUGAGACACGGCCCAGACUCCUAUGGGAGGCAGCAGUGGGGAAUUUUUCGCAAUGGGUGAAAGCCUGAUGGAGAAAUGUCAUGUAAGGAUCGGAUAACAAUGAUGGUAUCUGAGGAAUAAGCAUCGGAUAACUUUGUGCCAGCAACCGCGGUAAGACAGAGGAUGCAAGCGUUAUCCGAAAUGAUUGGGCGUAAAGCAUGUGUAGGUGGCUUUUCAAGUCCGCCAUCAAAUCCCAGGGCUCAACCCUGGACAGGCAGUGGAAACUACCAAGCUGGAGUACGAUAGGGGUAGAGGGAAUUUCCGGUGGAGCGGUGAAAUGCGUUGAGAUCGGAAAGAACACCAACGGCAAAAGCACUAUGUUGGGCCGACACUGACACUGAGAGAUGAAAGAUAGGGGAGAAAAUGGGAUUAGAUACCCCAGUAGUCCUAGCCGUAAACGAUGGAUACUAAAUGUUGUGCGUAUCAACCCACGCAGUGUUGUAGCUAACGCGUUAAGUAUCCCGCCUGGGGAGUAUGUUCGCAAGAAUGAAACUCAAAGGAAUUGAUGGGGGCCCGCACAAGUGGUGGAGCAUGUGGUUCCAUUCGAUGCAAAGUGAAGAACCUUACCAGGGCUUGACAUGCCGUGAAUCCUCCUGAAAGAGAGGAGUGCCUUCAGGAAAGCGGACACAGGUGGUGCAUGGUUAUCAUCAGCUCAUGCCGUAAGGUGUUGGGUUAAGUCCCGCAAUGAGCACAACCCUCGUGUUUAGUUGCCAGUAUUGAGUUUGGAACCCUGAACAGACUACCGGUGAUAAGCCAGAGGAAGGUGAGGAUGAUGUCAAGUCAUCAUGCCCCUUACGCCCUGGGCGACACAUGUGCUACAAUGACUAGGAAAAAUGGUCGCGACCCCGCGAGGGCAAGCUAACCUCAAAAACCCGGCCUCAGUUCAGAUUGCAGGCUGCAACUCGCCUGCAUGAAGCCAGAAUCGCUAGUAAUCGUCGGUUAGCCAUACGGCGGUGAAUCCAUUCCCGAGCCUUGUACACACCGCCCGUCACACUAUGGGAGCUGGCCAUGCCCCAAGUCAUUACCUUAAUCGCAAGGAGGGGGAUGCCGAAGGCUGGU